ACCCCACCCGUUGCACUAUUGUCGUACCUACUCCUAUCACAAGGUUUACGGUUAGUUUGAGGGGAAAGGGGAAUAUUAGUCAUUUAACAUAGCUAAUAUUCUUUUUU
Molecule: long non-coding RNA, 107 nt
Organism: Maniola jurtina (meadow brown)
Lineage: Eukaryota; Metazoa; Arthropoda; Insecta; Lepidoptera; Nymphalidae
Exons: 3
Source: RefSeq, a predicted model, not a curated record